Molecule: ribosomal RNA, 446 nt
Filed under: uncultured bacterium
Lineage: Bacteria
Description: partial 16S ribosomal RNA
Rfam family: Bacterial small subunit ribosomal RNA
Source: RNAcentral
CCUACGGGUGGCAGCAGUCGAGAAUCAUUCACAAUGGGGGAAACCCUGAUGGUGCGACGCCGCGUGGGGGAAUGAAGGUCUUCGGAUUGUAAACUCCUGUCAUGUGGGAGCAAAUUAAAAAGAUAGUACCACAAGAGGAAGAGACGGCUAACUCUGUGCCAGCAGCCGCGGUAAUACAGAGGUCUCAAGCGUUGUCCGGAAUCACUGGUCGUAAAGCGAGCGUAGGCUGUUUCGUAAGUCGUGUGUGAAAGGCGCGGGCUCAACCCGCGGACGGCACAUGAUACUGCGAGACUAGAGUAGUGGAGGGGGAACCGGAAUUCUUGGUGUAGCAGUGAAAUGCGUAGAUAUCGAGAGGAACACUCGUGGCGAAGGCGGGUUCCUGGACAUUAACUGACGCUGAGGCACGAAGGCCAGGGGAGCGAAAGGGAUUAGAUACCCGAGUAGUC